UCAUUAAAAAAAAAAAAAAACACCAUACAUCUUCAGUUGUUCAUAUUUGUCGUCGUUCAGCCUCAUGUCAUACAAUGAACUCAAGCACCACACGAAAGCCCCAGGUGCAUUGCGGGAAAGUGGCAAACAGGCCUGCAAGCUCAAGUCCAAACGUCACCAUCCGCAGAACCACCAACAGAGAGCUGGUGGCAAAAGGCAGUUUUGCGGGACUGGACUUGAAAAAGCCACAGCUACAAACAACAACAAACGAAAUCAAGCCCAAACAGGACAAAAACCCACCAGAGAAUACUGUCCUCCCAACAGCAUGGCUGCAGAACAGAUCGCAUAUCAGACAAGCCACACUUAAACAAGAUAGUUUGCCUCCACUGCCAGAAGAGGAGGAUCUAGAAUCGGAGGAAACGCUUGCUCAACAAUGUCUGCAAGAUAACCAACUCCAGUCGAAUCCAGCUACUAAUGGGCCUUCGAACCUACCAGCAGGCUCACAGAUUCCUAAUGGUUAGUGAAAAACUUACUCACACACGUUUUACAAUAAUUCCCACAUUUUAAUAAUAU
RNAcentral lists this long non-coding RNA (552 nucleotides) under Sinocyclocheilus anshuiensis. RNAcentral's name for it is "lncRNA (ENSSANG00000008743.1)". The record is from RNAcentral. Lineage: Eukaryota; Metazoa; Chordata; Actinopteri; Cypriniformes; Cyprinidae.